RNAcentral lists this long non-coding RNA (834 nucleotides) under Phasianus colchicus (ring-necked pheasant). RNAcentral's name for it is "lncRNA (ENSPCLG00000010814.1)". Lineage: Eukaryota; Metazoa; Chordata; Aves; Galliformes; Phasianidae. The record is from RNAcentral.
AUGCCCGCUAUUCUGCUUCAGCCCCUGCCGCCCCCUGUCCCAGAGCGGUCUCGGAGCCCUUCCUUUCCCCCGCUGGGCUUUUCUCGUGCUUCGCUUCCUCUGCGGUUCCGUACCGCUGCCGCCGCGCCGCGCCGUUGGUGUGGGAGCCGGGUGAAAGAGACAGAGCCCAGCGCCCACCGAAGCGAAGCGCAGCUCCUCUCCGCUCUGUUACAGAUCCUCAGCUCCAGGGUACCUGAUUUUCAUUUUCAUCACUUCAUUCAGCUUUCUCAGCAAGGAAGAUUGGCCUCUUCACUGGAAGACCUUUGUCAGUGGCAUAUGCAUUUCAGAGGACUUCCACCUUCUUUGUACAAGCUUGGUGAAAUACAUCAAGGCAUGGCUUCGUCUGGCUCGUUUAUUUUUCACUGGGAGCUUCCGUGCCACAGAGGAUUUUGGUUUGAACUUUCCAUUUUCUUCAGAGGAUGAGAGGCUGAAGCCUGCAGGAUAAGCAGUAACAUCUAAUGUGGCACAACUGCUCUGAAGAUAAACUAAAUGACUGUUGAAUACAAGUAGUAGUAAACAGGUGGGGUCAUUUGAAACUGUAGCUGCUCACUCACUAUGAAAGACAGGAAAGAAAUAGUUAAUGUUUCUUUCUUUUCUAGGUGGGAGAGGUGAUCUUUAUCACAAUUUUCCCCUAGCUGUACUAAUAACAAUCACCUGAGGCAGGAGAGGUAUGUGUAUUUUAAAAGGCAGCAGUAGUUGCCUCUGGUCACAGAAGGAAAGGAGGAAUUUGAAACUGAGUUUUACUUGUUUUCUAUCCAGAAGCAGGAAGCUCUUUUGAUAGAAAUAAUUUUUGUG